CCUGGCUCGGGGCAGCCGGUCCGCCUUGCAAAAGGUGCGCACUGUGCGGCCUCGGCCAUCCUUUAGAAAAGCGGCCCUGGCAUUCAGUUGUCGGGGUCGGGCUUCUAAACGUUUACUGUGAAAAAAUCAGAGUGUUCAAAGCAGGCUUACGCCUUGAAUACAUUAGCAUGGAAUAAUGAGAUAAGACUUUGGCGGUCUAUUUUGUUGGUUUGCACGCCGAAGUAAUGAUUAACAGGGACGGUUGGGGU
RNAcentral lists this ribosomal RNA (248 nucleotides) under Pelagophyceae sp. RCC5256. RNAcentral describes it as "partial small subunit ribosomal RNA". The stretch from base 97 to 248 matches the Rfam family "Eukaryotic small subunit ribosomal RNA", at positions 736 to 888 of the family's 1831-position model. Lineage: Eukaryota; Pelagophyceae. The record is from RNAcentral.